UACGAAGGUCCCGAGCGUUGUUCGGAAUCACUGGGCGUAAAGGGUGCGUAGGCGGGUCUUUAAGUCAGGGGUGAAAUCCUGGAGCUCAACUCCAGAACUGCCUUUGAUACUGAAGAUCUUGAGUUCGGGAGAGGUGAGUGGAACUGCGAGUGUAGAGGUGAAAUUCGUAGAUAUUCGCAAGAACACCAGUGGCGAAGGCGGCUCACUGGCCCGAUACUGACGCUGAGGCACGAAAGCGUGGGGAGCAAACAGG
Molecule: ribosomal RNA, 253 nt
Filed under: uncultured bacterium
Lineage: Bacteria
Description: partial 16S ribosomal RNA
Rfam family: Bacterial small subunit ribosomal RNA
Source: RNAcentral